This 492-nucleotide ribosomal RNA is filed under the name uncultured bacterium. RNAcentral's name for it is "partial 16S ribosomal RNA". It matches the Rfam family "Bacterial small subunit ribosomal RNA", at positions 29 to 507 of the family's 1533-position model. The record is from RNAcentral.
AGUGAACGCUGGCGGUAGGCCUAACACAUGCAAGUCGAACGGCAGCACAGUAAGAGCUUGCUCUUACGGGUGGCGAGUGGCGGACGGGUGAGGAAUACAUCGGAAUCUACUUUUUCGUGGGGGAUAACGUAGGGAAACUUACGCUAAUACCGCAUACGACCUACGGGUGAAAGCAGUGGAUCUUCGGACCUUGCGCGAUUGAAUGAGCCGAUGUCGGAUUAGCUAGUUGGCGGGGUAAAGGCCCACCAAGGCGACGAUCCGUAGCCGGUCUGAGAGGAUGAUCAGCCACACUGGAACUGAGACACGGUCCAGACUCCUACGGGAGGCAGCAGUGGGGAAUAUUGGACAAUGGGCGCAAGCCUGAUCCAGCCAUACCGCGUGGGUGAAGAAGGCCUUCGGGUUGUAAAGCCCUUUUGUUGGGAAAGGAAAGCAGCAGGUUAAUACCCCGCUGUUCUGACGGUACCCAAAGAAUAAGCACCGGCUAACUUCGUG